GUCUUCUUGAUCUAGGAAGGUCUUUAACAUCGUUUGUUGCCUGAUUUUUAUUCUCAAAACGACUUAUAGUGGAAUGGUGAUGACCAGCAAUACGUACAAUUGUCACAGCGACAUACCUGCUUCUGUCAUGCUGAUUAUCUGCCAUCUUGCUGCAGUUAUGAGUUGUGGAUGACCAAUUACAAGGUGUCAAUCACAUAACUUUAUAAACUUGGUUAUUUAAAGUGUUGAAAACAAUGAG
Molecule: long non-coding RNA, 238 nt
Filed under: Mytilus galloprovincialis (Mediterranean mussel)
Lineage: Eukaryota; Metazoa; Mollusca; Bivalvia; Mytilida; Mytilidae
Source: RNAcentral